Molecule: long non-coding RNA, 132 nt
Organism: Sinocyclocheilus rhinocerous
Lineage: Eukaryota; Metazoa; Chordata; Actinopteri; Cypriniformes; Cyprinidae
Exons: 3
Source: RefSeq, a predicted model, not a curated record
GCAGCGAGAGUUAUGAAAAGUGACCACUGAAGGCGGAUGACACUGAGGUCCCUAAAACGUCAGCACGGCUCCACACUUGGCAAAAUGAAGGGUCUGAUCUAACAAGGGCUCUUUCAUCUGCUGAGAAAAGCA